CAAUCGGCCCUUUUUAGAGCCAACAAUUGUGUUUUAAAGAGUUAAU
This is a non-coding RNA of Aedes aegypti (yellow fever mosquito), 46 nucleotides long. NCBI's taxonomy places the organism in Eukaryota, Metazoa, Arthropoda, Insecta, Diptera, Culicidae. The record is from Rfam.